Molecule: ribosomal RNA, 157 nt
Filed under: Bipolaris maydis (southern corn leaf blight pathogen)
Lineage: Eukaryota; Fungi; Ascomycota; Dothideomycetes; Pleosporales; Pleosporaceae
Description: 5.8S ribosomal RNA
Rfam family: 5.8S ribosomal RNA
About the family: 5.8S ribosomal RNA (5.8S rRNA) is a component of the large subunit of the eukaryotic ribosome. It is transcribed by RNA polymerase I as part of the 45S precursor that also contains 18S and 28S rRNA.
Source: RNAcentral
ACUUUCAACAACGGAUCUCUUGGUUCUGGCAUCGAUGAAGAACGCAGCGAAAUGCGAUACGUACUGUGAAUUGCAGAAUUCAGUGAAUCAUCGAAUCUUUGAACGCACAUUGCGCCCUUUGGUAUUCCAAAGGGCAUGCCUGUUCGAGCGUCAUUUG